This 465-nucleotide ribosomal RNA is filed under the name uncultured bacterium. RNAcentral's name for it is "partial 16S ribosomal RNA". It matches the Rfam family "Bacterial small subunit ribosomal RNA", at positions 339 to 795 of the family's 1533-position model. The record is from RNAcentral.
CUACGGGAUGCAGCAGUGGGGAAUAUUGGACAAUGGGGGAAACCCUGAUCCAGCAAUGCCGCGUGUGUGAAGAAGGCCUGCGGGUUGUAAAGCACUUUCGGUUGGGAGGACUGCUUCUAGCACUAAUAUUGUUGGAAGUUGACGUUACCUUCAGAAGAAGCACCGGCUAACUCCGUGCCAGCAGCCGCGGUAAUACGGAGGGUGCAAGCGUGAAUCGGAAUUACUGGGCGUAAAGCGCGCGUAGGCGGCUAGAUCAGGCGGGUGUGAAAGCCCCGGGCUUAACCUGGGAACUGCAUCCGAUACUGUCUAGCUUGAGUACAGGAGAGGAGAGUGGAAUUCCACAUGUAGCGGUGAAAUGCGUAGAUAUGUGGAGGAACACCAAUGGCGAAGGCAGCUCUCUGGCCUGAUACUGACGCUGAGGUGCGAAAGCGUGGGGAGCAAACAGGGUUAGAUACCCGUGUAGUC